Molecule: ribosomal RNA, 445 nt
Filed under: uncultured Anaerolineaceae bacterium
Lineage: Bacteria; Bacillati; Chloroflexota; Anaerolineae; Anaerolineales; Anaerolineaceae
Description: bacterial SSU rRNA
Rfam family: Bacterial small subunit ribosomal RNA
Source: RNAcentral
UUUCCUACGGGUGGCAGCAGGAGGGAAUAUUGGUUAAUGUGCGAAAGCGCGAACCAGCAACGCCGCGUGUACGAAGAAGGCCUUCGGGUUGUAAAGUACUUUUCACCGGGAAGAGGAAGGACGGUACCGGUGGAAUAAGUCUCGGCUAACUACGUGCCAGCAGCCGCGGUAACACGUAGGAGACGAGCGUUAUCCGGAUUUACUGGGUGGAAAGCGCGGGCAGGCGGUUUGUUAAGUUGGAUGUGAAAGCUACCGGCUAAACUGGGAGAGGUCGGUCAAAACUAGCAGACUAGAGUGUGGUAGAGGGGAGUGGAAUUCCGAGUGUAGCGGUAAAAUGCAUAGAUAUUCGGAAGAACACCAGUGGCGAAGGCGACUUCCUGGACCACAACUGACGCUCAGACGCGAAAGCCAGGGUAGCAAACGGGAUUAGAUACCCUGGUAGUCC